GUGUUCACUUCAGCAGCACAUAUACUAAAAUUGGAACGAUAAGGAGAAGAUUAGCAUGGCCCCUGCACAAGGAUGACACACAAAUUAGUGAAGUGUUCCAUAUUUUU
Molecule: small nuclear RNA, 107 nt
Organism: Dipodomys ordii (Ord's kangaroo rat)
Lineage: Eukaryota; Metazoa; Chordata; Mammalia; Rodentia; Heteromyidae
Source: Ensembl